This 680-nucleotide ribosomal RNA is filed under the name uncultured fungus. RNAcentral's name for it is "eukaryotic LSU rRNA". The stretch from base 271 to 424 matches the Rfam family "5.8S ribosomal RNA". Lineage: Eukaryota; Fungi. The record is from RNAcentral.
CUUGGUCAUUUAGAGGAAGUAAAAGUCGUAACAAGGUUUCCGUAGGUGAACCUGCGGAAGGAUCAUUAUCGAGUUUUGACUGGGUUGUAGCUGGCCUUCCGAGGCAUGUGCACGCCCUACUCAUCCACUCUACACCUGUGCACUUACUGUGGGUAUCAGAUCGUGAAGCGUGCUCUUUUACCGGAGCUUGUGAAGCGUGUCUGUGCCUGCGUUUAUCACAAACACUAUAAAGUAUCAGAAUGUGUAUUACGAUGUAACGCAUCUAUAUACAACUUUCAGCAACGGAUCUCUUGGCUCUCGCAUCGAUGAAGAACGCAGCGAAAUGCGAUAAGUAAUGUGAAUUGCAGAAUUCAGUGAAUCAUCGAAUCUUUGAACGCACCUUGCGCUCCUUGGUAUUCCGAGGAGCAUGCCUGUUUGAGUGUCAUGAAAUCUUCAACCUAUAAGCUUUUGUGGUUUGUAGGCUUGGACUUGGAGGCUUGUCGGCCUUGAUCGGUCGGCUCCUCUUAAAUGCAUUAGCUUGAUUCCUUGCGGAUCGGCUCUCGGUGUGAUAAUAUCUACGCCGCGACCGUGAAGCGUUUGGCGAGCUUCUAACCGUCUCACUUGAGAGACAACUUUAUGACCUCUGACCUCAAAUCAGGUAGGACUACCCGCUGAACUUAAGCAUAUCAAUAAGCGGAGGA